AAGGCAUAGUGAUGGCACUUUCUAAGCAUCUCCUUAAAUAACUCCCAACACUCAUAAAUAGAUUCUCCUUCUAACUGAUUAAAAGAAGUAAUAACAUUUCUAAGUUU
Dendrobium catenatum is the source of this 107-nucleotide small nucleolar RNA. NCBI's taxonomy places the organism in Eukaryota, Viridiplantae, Streptophyta, Magnoliopsida, Asparagales, Orchidaceae. The record is from RefSeq and is a predicted model, not a curated record.